This 264-nucleotide ribosomal RNA is filed under the name Triticum aestivum (bread wheat). RNAcentral describes it as "partial small subunit ribosomal RNA". The record is from RNAcentral. Lineage: Eukaryota; Viridiplantae; Streptophyta; Magnoliopsida; Poales; Poaceae.
AUGCAUCUGAGCGAGAACGAGGGGAUUGAGGGCGUGCGGUUCGCAAUGACUGUCGGGCAGGGCUUCGUCGGUGCCGCGCUAUGCCUGGAGCUGAUCCGCCGCGGCGCCCUGGAGGUCUGCUCCCUCGACAGCUCGACCUGCGCGAUUCCUCCGCUUGGUCCCAUCAGCUCCUCGACGCCGGCGUCCGCUUCUUACAAGGUUCUCUCCCUCACUCUCUUUUGCUUAAAUUAUUGUGUUUUUUUCUGUCGCCAUGAGUGGGCGUGA